This is a long non-coding RNA of Motacilla alba alba, 256 nucleotides long. RefSeq lists it as uncharacterized. Lineage: Eukaryota; Metazoa; Chordata; Aves; Passeriformes; Motacillidae. The record is from RefSeq and is a predicted model, not a curated record. The transcript is spliced from 2 exons.
GGCACAGGGAGCUGCAGCAGAGGCGGUGGAGCUGAGCUGUCUGUACAGCUGAGAAAGGCUCCUGAGCAUGUCUCCUGUUUUAUUAUGAUUCAAGCACACAGACCUACAAGUUUCCAGAUCCUCCUUCCCAGCCUGAGUCCUGCAUCUUAAACUUUGUGCAGCAGAAGACACUACUGUGAAAUUCACAGCACACCAGUUAAUUCAAGAGAAAUGUAACUAAGUAAAAUGUAGCUAAGUAAACAAAUAUUACUGCAAA